GUCCAGACUCCUACGGGAGGCAGCAGUGGGGAAUAUUGCACAAUGGGGGAAACCCUGAUGCAGCGACGCCGCGUGAGUGAAGAAGUACUUCGUUAUGUAAAGCUCUAUCAGCAGGGAAGAAAAUGACGGUACCUGAGUAAGAAGCCCCGGCUAACUACGUGCCAGCAGCCGCGGUAAUACGUAGGGGGCAAGCGUUAUCCGGAUUUACUGGGUGUAAAGGGGGCGCAGACGGCAGCGCAAGCCAGGAGUGAAGGCCCGGGGCCCAACCCCGGGACUGCUCUUGGAACUGCGCGGCUGGAGUGCAGGAGGGGCAGGCGGAAUUCCUGGUGUAGCGGUGAAAUGCGUAGAUAUCAGGAGGAACACCGGUGGCGAAGGCGGCCUGCUGGACUGCGACUGACGUUGAGGCCCGAAAGCGUGGGGAGCAAACAGGAUUAAAUACCCCUGUACGA
Molecule: ribosomal RNA, 449 nt
Filed under: uncultured bacterium
Lineage: Bacteria
Description: bacterial SSU rRNA
Rfam family: Bacterial small subunit ribosomal RNA
Source: RNAcentral